This 72-nucleotide transfer RNA is filed under the name Amolops ricketti (Chinese sucker frog). Its description in RNAcentral is "tRNA-Leu". It matches the Rfam family "tRNA". Rfam says of the family: Transfer RNA (tRNA) molecules are approximately 80 nucleotides in length. Their secondary structure includes four short double-helical elements and three loops (D, anti-codon, and T loops). Lineage: Eukaryota; Metazoa; Chordata; Amphibia; Anura; Ranidae. The record is from RNAcentral.
GUUAGUGUGGCAGAAAUGGUUAUGCAGAAGACCUAAGCUCUUCAAACUGGGGUUCAAAUCCUCCCACUAACU